ACGCUCGACACCUACAGGAGGCAGCAGUGGGGAAUAUUGCACAAUGGGGGAAACCCUGAUGCAGCGACGCCGCGUGAGCGAAGAAGUAUCUCGGUAUGUAAAGCUCUAUCAGCAGGGAAGAAGAUGACGGUACCUGACUAAGAAGCACCGGCUAAAUACGUGCCAACAGCCGCGGUAAUCUGAGCGGGCUGGCAAGGC
Molecule: ribosomal RNA, 198 nt
Filed under: uncultured bacterium
Lineage: Bacteria
Description: partial 16S ribosomal RNA
Rfam family: Bacterial small subunit ribosomal RNA
Source: RNAcentral